UCCAGACUCCUACGGGAGGCAGCAGUGGGGGAUAUUGCACAAUGGAGGGAACUCUGAUGCAGCGACGCCGCGUGAAGGAAGAAGGCUUUCGGGUUGUAAACUUCUUUUCUCGGGGACGAAGAAAGUGACGGUACCUGAGGAAUAAGCCACGGCUAACUACGUGCCAGCAGCCGCGGUAAUACGUAGGUGGCAAGCGUUAUCCGGAUUUAUUGGGUGUAAAGGGCGUGUAGGCGGGAGCGCAAGUCAGAUGUGAAAACUCAGGGCUCAACCCUGAGCCUGCAUUUGAAACUGUGUUUCUUGAGUGCUGGAGAGGCAAUCGGAAUUCCGUGUGCAGCGGUGAAAUGCGUAGAUAUACGGAGGAACACCAGUGGCGAAGGCGGAUUGCUGGACAGUAACUGACGCUGAGGCGCGAAAGCUAGGGGAGCGAACAGGAUUAGAUACCCCAGUAU
RNAcentral lists this ribosomal RNA (449 nucleotides) under uncultured bacterium. RNAcentral describes it as "bacterial SSU rRNA". It matches the Rfam family "Bacterial small subunit ribosomal RNA", at positions 330 to 793 of the family's 1533-position model. The record is from RNAcentral.